This 253-nucleotide ribosomal RNA is filed under the name uncultured bacterium. RNAcentral's name for it is "partial 16S ribosomal RNA". It matches the Rfam family "Bacterial small subunit ribosomal RNA", at positions 524 to 776 of the family's 1533-position model. The record is from RNAcentral.
UACAGAGGGUGCGAGCGUUGUCCGGAAUUACUGGGCGUAAAGGGCGCGUAGGCGGUUCGGUAAGUAGGGGGUGAAAUUCCACGGCUCAACCGUGGACCUGCCUUCUAGACUGUCGGACUUGAGCACGGUAGAGGCAGAUGGAAUUCCCGGUGUAGCGGUGGAAUGCGUAGAGAUCGGGAAGAACACCAGUGGCGAAGGCGGUCUGCUGGGCCGUUGCUGACGCUGAGGCGCGACAGCGUGGGGAGCAAACAGG